Molecule: ribosomal RNA, 589 nt
Filed under: uncultured bacterium
Lineage: Bacteria
Description: partial 16S ribosomal RNA
Rfam family: Bacterial small subunit ribosomal RNA
Source: RNAcentral
UGGGGAAUAUUGGACAAUGGGCGCAAGCCUGAUCCAGCAAUGCCGCGUGUGUGAAGAAGGCCUUCGGGUUGUAAAGCACUUUUAUCAGGAGCGAAACGCUGUCGGCUAAUACCCGGCGGAACUGACGGUACCUGAGGAAUAAGCACCGGCUAACUUCGUGCCAGCAGCCGCGGUAAUACGAAGGGUGCAAGCGUUAAUCGGAAUUACUGGGCGUAAAGCGUGCGUAGGCGGUUUCUUAAGUCUGCUGUGAAAUCCCCGGGCUCAACCUGGGAAUGGCAGUGGAUACUGGGAGGCUAGAGUGUGUCAGAGGGUGGUGGAAUUCCCGGUGUAGCGGUGAAAUGCGUAGAGAUCGGGAGGAACAUCAGUGGCGAAGGCGGCCACCUGGGACAACACUGACGCUGAGGCACGAAAGCGUGGGGAGCAAACAGGAUUAGAUACCCUGGUAGUCCACGCCCUAAAGCGAUGCGAACUGGAUGUUGGUCUCAACUCGGAGAUCAGUGUCGAAGCUAACGCGUUAAGUUCGCCGCCUGGGGAGUACGGUCGCAAGACUGAAACUUAAAUGAAUUGACGGGGUCAUAGCUGUUUCCUG